RNAcentral lists this transfer RNA (92 nucleotides) under Planctomycetia bacterium. RNAcentral describes it as "tRNA-Gly". Lineage: Bacteria; Pseudomonadati; Planctomycetota; Planctomycetia. The record is from RNAcentral.
GCGGGCUUGGCAUAUCGGCCUUGUGCAAUAGCCUUCCAGGCUGUCCAUGCGGGCUGCACACUGCAAUGGUUUGACUCCCGCAGCCCGCUCCA